AGUAACGGCGAGUGAAGCGGGAAAAGCUCAAAUUUAAAAUCUGGCGGUCCCUGUGGCCGUCCGAGUUGUAAUUUAGAGAAGUGUUAUCCGUGCUGGACCGUGUACAAGUCUCCUGGAAUGGAGCGUCAUAGAGGGUGAGAAUCCCGUCUUUGACACGGACUGCCAGUGCAUUGUGAUGCGCUCUCAAAGAGUCGAGUUGUUUGGGA
RNAcentral lists this ribosomal RNA (206 nucleotides) under Mycena sp. RNAcentral's name for it is "partial large subunit ribosomal RNA". It matches the Rfam family "Eukaryotic large subunit ribosomal RNA", at positions 82 to 279 of the family's 3401-position model. Lineage: Eukaryota; Fungi; Basidiomycota; Agaricomycetes; Agaricales; Mycenaceae. The record is from RNAcentral.